GCCCGUGUGGUCUAGGGGUACGAUGCAUCCUUCGGGUGGAUGAGGUCCUGCGUUCGAAUCGCAGCUCGGGCC
RNAcentral lists this transfer RNA (72 nucleotides) under Talaromyces pinophilus. RNAcentral's name for it is "tRNA-Pro (CGG) (tRNA-Pro-CGG-1-1)". The record is from RNAcentral. Lineage: Eukaryota; Fungi; Ascomycota; Eurotiomycetes; Eurotiales; Trichocomaceae.